GAUUAAGUUAUUAAGGGCGCACGGUGGAUGCCUUGGCACUAGAAGCCAAUGAAGGACGUUACUAACGACGAUAUGCUUUGGGGAGCUGUAAGUAAGCUUUGAUCCAGAGAUUUCCGAAUGGGGAAACCCAGCAUGAGUUAUGUCAUGUUAUCGAUAUGUGAAUACAUAGCAUAUCAGAAGGCACACCCGGAGAACUGAAACAUCUUAGUACCCGGAGGAAGAGAAAGAAAAUUCGAUUCCCUUAGUAGCGGCGAGCGAAACGGGAAGAGCCCAAACCAACAAGCUUGCUUGUUGGGGUUGUAGGACACUCUAUACGGAGUUACAAAGGACGACAUUAGACGAAUCAUCUGGAAAGAUGAAUCAAAGAAGGUAAUAAUCCUGUAGUCGAAAAUGUUGUCUCUCUUGAGUGGAUCCUGAGUACGACGGAGCACGUGAAAUUCCGUCGGAAUCUGGGAGGACCAUCUCCUAAGGCUAAAUACUCUCUAGUGACCGAUAGUGAACCAGUACCGUGAGGGAAAGGUGAAAAGCACCCCGGAAGGGGAGUGAAAUAGAACCUGAAACCGUGUGCUUACAAGUAGUCAGAGCCCGUUAAUGGGUGAUGGCGUGCCUUUUGUAGAAUGAACCGGCGAGUUACGAUUUGAUGCAAGGUUAAGCAGUAAAUGUGGAGCCGUAGCGAAAGCGAGUCUGAAUAGGGCGUUUAGUAUUUGGUCGUAGACCCGAAACCAGGUGAUCUACCCUUGGUCAGGUUGAAGUUCAGGUAACACUGAAUGGAGGACCGAACCGACUUACGUUGAAAAGUGAGCGGAUGAACUGAGGGUAGCGGAGAAAUUCCAAUCGAACCUGGAGAUAGCUGGUUCUCUCCGAAAUAGCUUUAGGGCUAGCCUCAAGUGAUGAUUAUUGGAGGUAGAGCACUGUUUGGACGAGGGGCCCCUCUCGGGUUACCGAAUUCAGACAAACUCCGAAUGCCAAUUAAUUUAACUUGGGAGUCAGAACAUGGGUGAUAAGGUCCGUGUUCGAAAGGGAAACAGCCCAGACCACCAGCUAAGGUCCCAAAAUAUAUGUUAAGUGGAAAAGGAUGUGGCGUUGCCCAGACAACUAGGAUGUUGGCUUAGAAGCAGCCAUCAUUUAAAGAGUGCGUAAUAGCUCACUAGUCGAGUGACACUGCGCCGAAAAUGUACCGGGGCUAAACAUAUUACCGAAGCUGUGGAUUGUCCUUUGGACAAUGGUAGGAGAGCGUUCUAAGGGCGUUGAAGCAUGAUCGUAAGGACAUGUGGAGCGCUUAGAAGUGAGAAUGCCGGUGUGAGUAGCGAAAGACGGGUGAGAAUCCCGUCCACCGAUUGACUAAGGUUUCCAGAGGAAGGCUCGUCCGCUCUGGGUUAGUCGGGUCCUAAGCUGAGGCCGACAGGCGUAGGCGAUGGAUAACAGGUUGAUAUUCCUGUACCACCUAUAAUCGUUUUAAUCGAUGGGGGGACGCAGUA
Molecule: ribosomal RNA, 1478 nt
Filed under: Staphylococcus aureus
Lineage: Bacteria; Bacillati; Bacillota; Bacilli; Caryophanales; Staphylococcaceae
Description: partial 23S ribosomal RNA
Rfam family: Bacterial large subunit ribosomal RNA
Source: RNAcentral